CCUACGGGGGGCAGCAGUGAGGAAUAUUGGUCAAUGGGCGCAAGCCUGAACCAGCCAUGCCGCGUGCAGGAUGACGGUCCUAUGGAUUGUAAACUGCUUUUGCACAGGAAGAAACACUGCCUCGUGAGGUAGCUUGACGGUACUGUGAGAAUAAGGAUCGGCUAACUCCGUGCCAGCAGCCGCGGUAAUACGGAGGAUCCAAGCGUUAUCCGGAAUCAUUGGGUUUAAAGGGUCCGUAGGCGGUCUAAUAAGUCAGUGGUGAAAGCCCUACGCUCAACGUAGGAACGGCCAUUGAUACUGUUAGACUUGAAUUAUUUGGAAGUAACUAGAAUAUGUAGUGUAGCGGUGAAAUGCUUAGAGAUUACAUGGAAUACCAAUUGCGAAGGCAGGUUACUACAAAUGGAUUGACGCUGAUGGACGAAAGCGUGGGUAGCGAACAGGAUUAGAUACCCCAGUAGUC
Molecule: ribosomal RNA, 460 nt
Filed under: uncultured bacterium
Lineage: Bacteria
Description: bacterial SSU rRNA
Rfam family: Bacterial small subunit ribosomal RNA
Source: RNAcentral